GGGGGAGUGUCGGAACUGGCAGACGAGCGUGAUUUAGGAUCACGUGGAGCAAUCCGUGUGGGUUCGAGUCCCACCUUCCCCAUCA
RNAcentral lists this transfer RNA (85 nucleotides) under Chloroflexi bacterium B3_Chlor. Its description in RNAcentral is "tRNA-Leu". It matches the Rfam family "tRNA". Rfam says of the family: Transfer RNA (tRNA) molecules are approximately 80 nucleotides in length. Their secondary structure includes four short double-helical elements and three loops (D, anti-codon, and T loops). Further hydrogen bonds mediate the characteristic L-shaped molecular structure. tRNAs have two regions of fundamental functional importance: the anti-codon, which is responsible for specific mRNA codon recognition, and the 3' end, to which the tRNAs corresponding amino acid is attached (by aminoacyl-tRNA synthetases). tRNAs cope with the degeneracy of the genetic code in two manners: having more than one tRNA (with a specific anti-codon) for a particular amino acid; and 'wobble' base-pairing, i.e. permitting non-standard base-pairing at the 3rd anti-codon position. Lineage: Bacteria; Bacillati; Chloroflexota. The record is from RNAcentral.